UACGAAGGGGGCUAGCGUUGUUCGGAAUUACUGGGCGUAAAGGGCGCGUAGGCGGCCCGCUAAGUCGAACGUGAAAUCCCCAGGCUCAACCUGGGAACUGCGUCCGAUACUGGCAGGCUUGAAUCCGGGAGAGGGAUGUGGAAUUCCAGGUGUAGCGGUGAAAUGCGUAGAUAUCUGGAGGAACACCGGUGGCGAAGGCGGCAUCCUGGACCGGUAUUGACGCUGAGGCGCGAAAGCUAGGGGAGCAAACGGG
RNAcentral lists this ribosomal RNA (253 nucleotides) under uncultured bacterium. RNAcentral's name for it is "partial 16S ribosomal RNA". It matches the Rfam family "Bacterial small subunit ribosomal RNA", at positions 524 to 776 of the family's 1533-position model. The record is from RNAcentral.